AGCUGGAGGCCUUACCUUUAUCCAAGUUUCCUCUUCACAAGCAAGUUUCUGGCUUCUUAGAACACCUGAUGAACACAAGGAGGUUUGGGCAAAGACAUCUUCAUUUCAAGAAUGAAUGUCUGGAAACAUACAAGUAUCAGUCAUAACUAAUGGAAGAAAUGUCUGGAAACAUACAAGUAUCAGUCAUAACUAAUGGAAGGAAU
Biomphalaria glabrata is the source of this 203-nucleotide long non-coding RNA. RefSeq lists it as uncharacterized. The transcript has 2 exons. NCBI's taxonomy places the organism in Eukaryota, Metazoa, Mollusca, Gastropoda, Planorbidae. The record is from RefSeq and is a predicted model, not a curated record.